AGCAGCCGCGGUAAUUCCAGCUCCAAUAGCGUAUAUUAAAGUUGUUGCAGUUAAAAAGCUCGUAGUUGAAUUUCGGGAUCAAGUCGUCGGUCGUGCCUCGGUACGCACUGGUGACAUUGGUUUCUCCCUUCUGAAGAACCUUGAUGUCAUUAAUUUGGUGUCUUGGGGAAUCAGGACUGUUACUUUGAAAAAAUUAGAGUGUUUAAAGCAAGCUCACGCUUGAAUACAUUAGCAUGGAAUAAUGAAAUAGGACGUUUGAUUCUAUUUUGUUGGUUUCUAGGAUCGACGUAAUGAUUAAUAGGGAUAGUUGGGGGCAUUAGUAUUCAAUUGUCAGAGGUGAAAUUCUUGGAUUUAUUGAAGACUAACUACUGCGAAAGCAUUUGCCAAGGAUGUUUUCAUUAAUCAAGAACGAAAGUUAGGGGAUCGAAGACGAUCAGAUACCGUCGUAGUCUUAACCAUAAACUAUGCCGACUAGGGAUCGGAUGAUGUUAAUUUUUUAAUGACUCAUUCGGCGUCCG
Molecule: ribosomal RNA, 518 nt
Filed under: uncultured Glomus
Lineage: Eukaryota; Fungi; Glomeromycota; Glomeromycetes; Glomerales; Glomeraceae
Description: SSU rRNA
Rfam family: Eukaryotic small subunit ribosomal RNA
Source: RNAcentral